This 259-nucleotide ribosomal RNA is filed under the name uncultured Glomus. RNAcentral's name for it is "partial 18S ribosomal RNA". It matches the Rfam family "Eukaryotic small subunit ribosomal RNA", at positions 624 to 886 of the family's 1831-position model. The record is from RNAcentral. Lineage: Eukaryota; Fungi; Glomeromycota; Glomeromycetes; Glomerales; Glomeraceae.
AAGCUCGUAGUUGAAUUUCGGGGUUAGUAGGUUGGUCAUGCCUCUGGUAUGUACUGGUCUCACUGAUUCCUCCUUCCUUAUGAACCGUAAUGCCAUUAAUUUGGUGUUGCGGGGAAUUUGGGCUGUUACUUUGAAAAAAUUAGAGUGCUUAAAGCAAGCUAACGCUUGAAUACAUUAGCAUGGAAUAAUGAAAUAGGACGUUCGAUCUUAUUUUGUUUGGUUUCUAGGAUUGACGUAAUGAUUAAUAGGGAUAGUUGGG